Molecule: RNase P RNA, 405 nt
Filed under: Treponema sp.
Lineage: Bacteria; Pseudomonadati; Spirochaetota; Spirochaetia; Treponematales; Treponemataceae
Description: RNase P RNA component class A
Rfam family: Bacterial RNase P class A
About the family: Ribonuclease P (RNase P) is a ubiquitous endoribonuclease, found in archaea, bacteria and eukarya as well as chloroplasts and mitochondria. Its best characterised activity is the generation of mature 5'-ends of tRNAs by cleaving the 5'-leader elements of precursor-tRNAs. Cellular RNase Ps are ribonucleoproteins.
Source: RNAcentral
GCGAUGAACCAGGCUGCCGCGCCGCGACUUGAGUCGCGGUGAGGAAAGUCCGGGCUCCGCAGGGCAUGAUGCCGGGUAAUACCCGGGCGGGUGGGGUGUUGCAAACGCCCCCUUGACAGACAGCGCAACAGAAAGUAAACCGCCUGAGGGGGGCAAAGGGAAGAUACCCAUCGACUUUUUGUCCCUUCUUUGGUAAGGGUGAAAGGGUAGAGUAAGAGCCUACCGCGGAACCGGUAACGGUUCCGGCACGGCAAGCCUCAUCAGGAGCAAAGUCAAACAGCGGCAGAACGGCCCGUUUAUGUCGCGGGUAGACUGCGUGGAUACUAUCCGCAAGGAUAGUACCAGAUAGAUGGCAGCUAUGGCGUAAACGCCUAAACAGAACCCGGCUUAUGGUUCAUCGCUUUU